RNAcentral lists this Y RNA (99 nucleotides) under Ailuropoda melanoleuca (giant panda). Its description in RNAcentral is "Y RNA (ENSAMEG00000020553.2)". It matches the Rfam family "Y RNA". Rfam says of the family: Y RNAs are components of the Ro ribonucleoprotein particle (Ro RNP), in association with Ro60 and La proteins. The record is from Rfam by way of RNAcentral. Lineage: Eukaryota; Metazoa; Chordata; Mammalia; Carnivora; Ursidae.
CCCUGGUCUGAGUGCAGUGGUGUUUACAUUUCAUUGAUCACAGCCAACUACAGAGUUCCUUGUUCCUUCUCUCACACUGCUACACUUGACUAGCCUAAA